RNAcentral lists this ribosomal RNA (1544 nucleotides) under metagenome. RNAcentral's name for it is "bacterial LSU rRNA". It matches the Rfam family "Bacterial large subunit ribosomal RNA", at positions 1351 to 2910 of the family's 2925-position model. The record is from RNAcentral.
UUUCCUGAGGAAGGCUCGUCCGCUCAGGGUUAGUCGGGACCUAAGCCGAGGCCGAAAGGCGUAGGCGAUGGACAACAGGUUGAUAUUCCUGUACCACCUCCUCACCAUUUGAGCAAUGGGGGACGCAGGAGGAUAGGGUAAGCGCGGUAUUGGAUAUCCGCGUCCAAGCAGUUAGGCUGGAAAUAGGCAAUCCGUUUCCCAUAAGGCUGAGCUGUGAUGGCGAGCGAAAAUAGUAGCGAAGUUCCUGAUUCCACACUGCCAAGAAAAGCCUCUAGCGAGGUGAGAGGUGCCCGUACCGCAAACCGACACAGGUAGGCGAGGAAGAAUCCUAAGGUGAUCGAGAGAACUCUCGUUAAGGAACUCGGCAAAAUGACCCCGUAACUUCGGGAGAAGGGUGCUCUGUUAGGUGCAAGCCCGAAGAGCCGCAGUGAAUAGGCCCAGGCGACUGUUUAGCAAAACACAGGUCUCUGCGAAGCCGUAAGGCGAAGUAUAGGGGCUGACGCCUGCCCGGUGCUGGAAGGUUAAGAGGAGCGCUUAGCGUAAGCGAAGGUGCGAAUUGAAGCCCCAGUAAACGGCGGCCGUAACGAUAACGGUCCUAAGGUAGCGAAAUUCCUUGUCGGGUAAGUUCCGACCCGCACGAAAGGCGCAACGAUCUGGGCACUGUCUCAGCGAGAGACUCGGUGAAAUAUAGUACCUGUGAAGAUGCAGGUUACCCGCGACAGGACGGAAAGACCCGUGGAGCUUUACUGCAGCCUGAUAUUGAAUGUUGGUGCAGCUUGUACAGGAUAGGUAGGAGCCUUGAAACCGGAGCGCCAGCUUUGGUGGAGGCAUCGGUGGGAUACUACCCUGGCUGUAUUGACCUUCUAACCCGCCGCCCUUAUCGGGCGGGAGACAUCAGGUGGGCAGUUUGACUGGGGCGGUCGCCUCCUAAAAGGUAACAGGCGCCCAAAGGUUCCUCAGAAUGGUUGGAAAUCAUUCGCAGAGUGUAAAGGCACAAGGGAGCUUACGACUGCGAGACCUACAAGUCGAGCAGGGACGAAAGUCGGGCUUAGUGAUCCGGUGGUUCCGCAUGGAAGGGCCAUCGCUCAACGGAUAAAAGCUACCCCGGGGAUAACAGGCUUAUCUCCCCAAGAGUCCACAUCGACGGGGAGGUUUGGCACCUCGAUGUCGGCUCAUCGCAUCCUGGGGCUGUAGUCGGUCCCAAGGGUUGGGCUGUUCGCCCAUUAAAGCGGUACGCGAGCUGGGUUCAGAACGUCGUGAGACAGUUCGGUCCCUAUCCGUCGCGGGCGCAGGAAAUUUGAGAGGAGCUGUCCUUAGUACGAGAGGACCGGGAUGGACGCACCGCUGGUGUACCAGUUGUUCUGCCAAGGGCAUCGCUGGGUAGCGCUGUGCGGACGGGAUAAGUGCUGAAAGCAUCUAAGCAUGAAGCCCCCUCAAGAUGAGAUUUCCCAUUCCGCAAGGAAGUGAUCCCUGAAAGAUGAUCAGGUUGAUAGGUCUGAGGUGGAAGUGUGGCGACACAUGGAGCUGACAGAUACUAAUCGAUC